RNAcentral lists this long non-coding RNA (684 nucleotides) under Homo sapiens (human). Its description in RNAcentral is "HSALNT0058787". The record is from RNAcentral. Lineage: Eukaryota; Metazoa; Chordata; Mammalia; Primates; Hominidae.
CUCGUGGUGCGCCGUUUUUUAAGCCCGUCGGAAAAGCGCAGUAUUCUGGUGGGAGUGACCCGAUUUUCCAGGUGCUGUCAGUCACCGCUUUCUUUGACUCGGAAAGGGAACUCCCUGACCCCUUGCACUUCCCAAGUGAGGCAAUGCCUCGCCCUGCUUCGGCUCGUGCACGAUACGUGCACCCACUGACCUGCGCCCACUGUCUGGCACUCCCUAGUGAGAUGAACCCGGUACCUCAGAUGGAAAUGCAGAAAUCACCUGUCUUCUGCUUCGCUCACGCUGGGAGCUGUAGACCGGAGCUGUUCCUGUUCGGCCAUCUUGGCUCCUCCCUGCCAGAUAGCUCUUAUUUUGAGAAUGUUUACACUUGGAGUCCAGAGCUGCCCUGUUAAGAAGCUCAACUACCCUGAGGUCACCAUGAUGUCAGGAAGCCAAACUCGAUGGAAAGGCCAUUAAGUGGGUACUGCACUUGACAGCCCAGUGUCAUUCCCAGCAAACAGUCAACACCAACAGUGGGAGAGUUGUCUUGAAUGUCUACACCAGUCUAAUCUUCAGAGGACAGCAGCUCCGUGACAUCUGACUCCAACUGCUUGAGAGAUCUUAUGCCAGAAAUACCCAGCCAAGCUCUUCCCACAUUCCUAGCCCCAAAGAAUUAUUAGCAAAAUAAAACAGUUGUUUUAAAAUGGU